GAGUAGGAAAGAUGUGAAGGGAAUUUCAAUGAUCUUGAUCUUUGCUCUGCCACAUUCCAGGUCAGACCCUAUUUAUUGGCAAGGAAGGAACAGAGAGAGUUUUUUCCAGAGGGGAUUCUAAUAGCAGUUUAUCGGUUACCUCUGCACAUGUCAGUCUCUGCUAGCCAAGAGUGCCAUGCAUUAUCACUGAAAGAGGCUGUGUAUGAGGAUUUAUGUGACUAGAGGUUGUACAUAAGCAUCAGUAAUCAUGAAGGAAGCUGCUCACUGACUUGAGCAAGGACAGCAGAAUCAGACUUAUUCCCCUAGCUUCACUUUGCAGGUAAGCUGUGAAAAUGAACUUGGACACUAGAAGAGUACCAUUAAAAAUGCCCAUGAGGGUUUAAACUUGCAGCUGGUGUUGGGAAAAAAAAAGCUGGUUUUGAAUAACUUCUCAGCAAGUGAGGCCUGCUUCUUCUGUGCUUUGAAAAAGGGAAGGGACAAGCCAUAGAAAUUAAAACCAAUGGAACAUACAGGUAACAUGUGAGUAACCCAAGUAACGUACGAGAAGGCAAUAAGUUUACACAGGCUGCUUUCAUUCUGGCAUUUCUACCUUUGACAUUGUAUAAUACUUUUUGCUG
This 617-nucleotide long non-coding RNA is filed under the name Numida meleagris (helmeted guineafowl). Its description in RNAcentral is "lncRNA (ENSNMEG00000020164.1)". The record is from RNAcentral. Lineage: Eukaryota; Metazoa; Chordata; Aves; Galliformes; Numididae.